UUCUUUCUUUCUUUCUUUUAUUUUUUCUUUUUUAAUGUUCAUGACUAUUUUAUAAGAUUCAUUGUAGCAAGAAAAGAAAGAAAUUGUAAAUGUUAUUUGUUUUCUUGAUCAUGAUAAGGUAAUGCUUUCAUUCAACCAUUGGGGAUAUGGGGAAUGAAGUUGACAUUUAGUCCAAUGUCGUUUUUGAUGUUGGAAUUUGUUGAGGAUGAAAGAAUAGUCCUAGUCGAUGACUACUAUCUAUUUAUAGGUCUCUUUCAUAUUGUUUAAUUGCAAUUAGUGGAGUAAAAUAUAGCAAACUGAAGCCUACUUUAUGUAAUUGUUUUUAAAAAAGAGUUGGUAGGACUUGUAGACAGCAUGUCCUAACCUUUUUAUGUUUUGUCUUGGACAUAAAUAUGAAUCAAUUUCAUUGCUUGGUUUUGCCUAGAUAACAUUUUGUAUGGCGGGGGAGGAUUUACAGAAACAUGAUGAUGGGGAUGCACAAGAGGACAUGCAGUUGAAAAAUGAUGAUGUUGAUGUGCCUGAAGAAUCACAGCCUCUACAAAUACAAGAAUCUAAACCUGAAUUGGCUCAUGAUGACGGAACGAGGUGGCCUGGAUGGCCUGGAGAGAAUGUUUUCAGGAUGUUGGUUCCUGUGCAAAAGGUUGGUAGUAUCAUUGGGAGAAAGGGAGAGUCCAUUAAGAAAAUCAUUGAGGAGACAAAGGCUCGGAUUAAAAUUCUUGAUGGCCCUCCUGGGAUCUUGGAAAGAGCAGUUCUCCGCAAAUCUAAAGCCACAAUUCAAUGAUGAAAGUGGCAUCAAACUAGAAGAACCAAAGAUCGAGAUUGCAGGGGUGAGCACCAAGUGCUGAAAAGUACCAAGAAGAUUUGCAUUGUAUCUGGUCAUGGUCUCUGCAAAAGAAGAGCCCGAUGUUUCUAUAUCUCCAGCCGUGGGUGGUUUGCUGAGGGUUCAUAAGCAAGUUAUUGGUUUAGAUGCUACUGCUAGUCACGCUACUUUAGGCGCCAUCAAGGGCAAAAUUGUCACCAGACUUCUAGUACCUGGUGCUCAAGCAGCAAGCUUGAUUGGGAAGCAAGGCUCCACUAUAAAAUCUAUUCAAGAGGCUUCUGGUUGUAUCAUUCGAGUUCUUGGAGCAGAACACCUGCCAAUUUUUGCUCUGAAAGAUGACAAUAUAGUUGAGAUACAAGGUGAGCCGACAGGUGUGCACAAUGGAGUUGAACUGAUUGCUAGUCAUCUUCGAAAGUUCUUAGUCGACCGCAGUAUUGUUGGAGUGUUUGAAACACAAAUGCAAAUGCCAAUUGUUCGAUCAAACCAGAACAUGCCCCCACAACAAUCUCGGGGCCCUCCUCAAGGUUUUCCAAAAAAUGCUGAUGGUGGAAAUGGUUAUGGGUCCAAUCCCCAAUAUUUGAUGCCUCAUCGUCAAUAUGAUAAUAAUCAUUCAGAUUCUGAUAUACCUCCCUUUGAUAAGCAGCCCCAUCACGGUUCUCCCAUGUAUGGUAGAGAUGCUUUUAUAGGCCAUGCAUCAAAUGCCCAGCCACAAUCAGUGGUUGGAAAGGUCACACACCACAUGCAGAUUCCUCUAUCAUAUGCUAAUGCUGUGAUUGGGGUUUCUGGUGCAAAUAUAAGCUAUAUACGUCGUGCCAGUGGGGCUGCUAUUGCAGUACAGGAAACAAGGGAUGUGCCUAAUGAGAUGACUGUUGAAAUUAAUGGAACUGCUUCACAAAUACAAACAGCUCAGCAGUUGAUACAUGUAUUUCUAUUAUUUCCCUGAUGAUCUUUGAAGCAGCUCAUAGCCUGAUUUUUUGCUGUUUUCUUAUUUAACUACCUAUUACGGAGUGGUAGACAACUAUUGUAUCAUGAAAUUAUCCUGGGCUCAAACCCUGGCAACCUGUCAAAAAAUGUGCCUCCAAUUUGAUUAAUUUCAUGUUUGCUGCUGCUGCCCAAACAUCGCUUUGGAGUACAAGGGAUAUCUGUACAUUACAUAAUUUUCUUUUCCCUACUCUCUCUCUUUCUCUCUCUCUGUGUGUUUAGGGAUAUGGGUGGGCAGGUGCGUUGCUGAUGGGCUAGAAUUCUAGCUACUUUUUUAUGGCAUCACUAUAUGUUUGAGUAAUAUCAAACCAAAAGAGGCAUGAUUACUGCUAGGAUUCAGCAUUUGCUGGUUCUUCAAUUAGAUGUAAUGCAUCACAUUGUUUAUGGCAAUAUGAGCGUGUCAAUAAAUGUAUGACAACAAAGUAUGGAAGAUGUCUCACUUACGUCAAGAAUUGCAUUUGCAAUGUUCUGUUAUUUAGGCAUGCAUUAAGGUUGCAUUUAUUUAUCUCCAUGGUAAAGCCUGUUCAGACAUCGAGUCAUGUUUUAUGCUGCAAUUAUUAUAAUGGGAGAAUUUGCUAGAAGUACGAACCAAUUACCACUAGUUGCUUAUGCUAUAUUAUACUGAUAUCUAUCUCCAUCUUUUCACUGACCUGCCAAUAAAAUCUGUUUCAUUCUGAUGAAUUGGCAGCAAGUGCUGCAUUGCUGUGCUUUCUUUUUGUUAACCUGCCAAUGAAAUGUGUUUCAUUUUGAUAAACUGGCAGCGAGAGUUGCGUUGUAUACUGUUUCACCUUAGCAAUACAUAUUUGUGGAUUAUUAAUUUAUUUUUUCCUUUGUUUUUGGGGAAUUGGAGUAGCAUUUUAUAUGUUUGAUUUAAAUUACCUUCCUCUUUUUUGUGAUGCAGAACUUCAUUGCUGAAGCUAAAAGUAACUUGCAGAACCGGGCAGGAGAAUCAAUUGGUCAGGGAUUUAAUGCUUAUCCAGCUUUCUCAGCCAGUGGAUCAGUCAGUCAAGAGUACACUCCUUAUCCGGCUGAAGAUCUGAUAUACACAUUGCAACCAUCUGAAGGUACUGGAUAUGUGAGCCAUGCUCCAACUGAAGACUAUGGUUCAGUGUAUGGCACCAAUUAUGGUUACUAGAAACCAAGGUUCAUUUGAUUCACUUAUGGUAGAAUAUAUCUGUGGUCAUUCACCUGGAAAUCUGAUAUAGUUUUGGUAAUAGAACUCGGAUGUUAUUUGAUAUUUUUUAAAAUCAACUAGUUAUGUUUUGGUUACAUCUAGUUUGGUUUGUGUUGAGCAUUUGCCAGCUGCAUCUCUUGUGUAGUCCUAGUCUAUUGGGAUCCUCUUGUAGUGUUUCUGCAAUGCUAGUCAGCCAUUGAGUCAUUUCCGUUCUAUUAACGAAAUUGCUAAUUGCUCCAGUUUAUCAAUUUGUUAGUGUCUCCGAAAGCAUCAAUUCCAAAUAAGAAUCCAUAAUCAUGAAUAUUGCAAUUGUAAUGCUUGUCGGUUCUCCUUUUUUCCUUUAAGGCAUAUUGUAGUGAGACUUCUGAAUUUUAUUUGUUUAUCUUCAAAAUCAUCAUGC
RNAcentral lists this unclassified non-coding RNA (3375 nucleotides) under Hevea brasiliensis (rubber tree). Lineage: Eukaryota; Viridiplantae; Streptophyta; Magnoliopsida; Malpighiales; Euphorbiaceae. The record is from RNAcentral.